CAAGAUAUUUAUAAAAUCAUAACAUUUUAUAUUUACUUUUCAUUAAAAAAAUUUUACUUUGAUAUACUUUGACCCACGUGCUAUUGAUGGCCCAUGAGUCGUGUGCUAGCCCAUCAAUGAAGCGUGCUUAUUUCAUGCCUUUUCGCGUAUCGUGUUUUGAUCCAUCUCUAAUCGUGUUGUGCUUUUAAGGCCCAUGCACUUAAAAUUCUAAGCUCGGCCCAGCCCACGUGCGUGCCAUAUCAUGCCACCUGUCGCCUGUUGAGUGCUAGAAAAUGUAUAUUUAUAAAAGAGAAAAUCGUUAGUUUACAUUUCAAGUCUUACUAACACCUUUACUUUUAUGUAUUUAAGAUUCUUGUGAUUUAAUUACGUGUGUUUUAUUUUAAUUAAGUAUUUUAUGUAUUUUAGGGGCAUCGUUGUCAUUUCACAAUUAAUAAGAAAUCAUACGGUAAAACAGACAUCACUUUUGAACUCAGGACAGUCGAAAACCUUAGGAGGAGUAUAAAAGGAAAAAUAUUACUGUUCACAUGUACGACACGAUUCACAUGUACGAUACUGUCCAUGAUACUGUUCACGACACUAUUCACACAUACGGAAUGAUGACGUGGCAUUGACCGAUGAUGUGGCAUUGACUGAUGAGGUGUCACGAUUCUAUUGGACAAAAUUUAUAUACACUGUUGAUCGGUGAUGUGACAGCAUGUUAGUGAACCAAAAAUCGCGUGUACGGUACAUGCAUAUACACAGGAUUAUUUUCAACCAAACCGCGUCACUGUUCAAGCCGGUUGACUGUUCAAACUGCGUGCUUAAACCGUGUCACUGUUCAAACUGCGUGGUCAAACCGCGUACUAUUGACUGAUGACGUGGCACAAUCCUGAGCGUCCAAACUAUUUUUAAUCUGAUGGCCAUGAUUUAUUCAAUGUAUCUAUAAAAAGGGGGCCUCCCCUCCCCCUAAUUUGAUACUUUUGAAUCCAUUUUUGGGCUCCAUUUUUUAUAAUUCCUUCUUCAUCUUGUACUUUCUACGUAUUUUAAUAAAUUUCUAUUUUGCCCCUAGUUCAAUUAUGAGUAGCUAAUUUUCUUUCAAGCUUGGGUUGAAGGUGAAGUCUUAACAUAUGUCAUGGGCUUUAUUUGGUAAAUUUACUUUCUCUUCCCCUCUAGUUUUUGUGGAUGUUUUGACUUUUCGUCGACAAAUAAUAAUAAUCUUGUCUAGAUACCGCCCUGGUUUUAUCGGCUCCCUAGUACAAGGUUAUUAUUAUUUGGCACGAUAAGUCCUUAGCACCAUAUUGAUUAGAGUGUGGUUCAUGAGGCGUGGAUUCCUCCCUCAUGAUUUAAUUGGCACUAAUAAGGAAUAUUUAGCCCAUGGUGCAUGUUGAUACGGAUUCAUAUACACAAGUGCCGCAUUUCAAUAGAAUUUGCUUCAAUUUAUUCUCGCCAUUUUAAUUCAAAUUUUAGGAUAAUCUAAUUACUUUCACCCCAAAUCCAACCACCCAUUUAGAAAAUUAAUUCUACACAUAAUUAAAAUUCACCUCGUCGUGGGAUCAACACUCGUCACCAUUGAUCUAUACUACAAUAGAUUCGUGCACUUCCGAGUUCAAUAAAAUUUGCACAACAAGUUUUUGGCGCCGUUGCUGGGGAGGUAAGUUAUUUUAAUUUGUAGAAUUAAUU
RNAcentral lists this long non-coding RNA (1659 nucleotides) under Citrus x clementina. Its description in RNAcentral is "Citrus clementina (C. clementina) long non-coding RNA (CCLE_LNC000955)". Lineage: Eukaryota; Viridiplantae; Streptophyta; Magnoliopsida; Sapindales; Rutaceae. The record is from RNAcentral.